UCUGCUCACUCUCUCGCCGCCGCAGGAGGAGUGCGCGCAGGGGGGUGGCGGGUCAAGGUCCGCUCGCCGGCGCCGCCCGCUGAAUGGCGGAUCCAUGCGCACCCUCUCCGACGACCUCCCGGGCACGCCCCCGCUGGCAACGGCAAGGACCACACACUCCGUCCACCAGCAGUAGCAGGACCGCCACCGUUGCCUGUCCUCUUUGAUUCGAGAUCCAUGCUGCACCACUUCGUCCAGGUGAGGUUCUCUGUUUUGUGCAAAGUGCAGACUGGGAUGGUUUCUCUAAGCAGCCAAUCAUUACAACAUAAGACUGCUGCUACCGGUCAUUAAUAUGAAUUUUGUUAUUUGAUUGAUUUGUGGUGGCUGGCAAUUUUUUAGGCUUCAGAUUCCCUAUGAUGGUCGCCGUACUGUGAAGACUAUGGUGCAAUACUUCUAGAGAUAUAUGGUUUCCUGCAAGUGGGUAAUCAGCGAGGGCCGGGCUUAUCUCCCUAUGGAGGUUAGUAUCUUUGACAACCUUGCUUUAUUUAACACUUCAGGUUAGAAGUACGGAGAAGUAGCUACAGAAAUAAAUCACCCUGUGGGUAACCAAAAUACAUCUUUCCCUUAUCUUACAAUUAUUCUUGUGAGGUUAGGAGUCCACUGCUUCUUAAGUUGUUAUUUGUUUUGGUGCAAACAAUAUCAUUUGUUUUUCAUCAUGUCAUACUUAAUCUAUGGCACCAUGUAUGAUUAGUAUUAGACAGAUUAAUUUUUGUGUUCUCCAUCCUCUACAACAACCACAAAUAAAAAUCCAUGUGUAUAAAUUUUUUUGUGUUCUCCAUCCUCUACAACAAACCAUGGACCUACACGGCACUAGGUAUAAAAAAUCCUCAUCCCUUCCUUUUCUAUUUCUUCUCAUACAAUAGAUUGAACACCCACGGUUCAGUCUGGGUUCAUAAGGUGUGUAUUUUCCAAUGUAUUCGGUUGAUGCUUCAUCUGAUUGAACAAGGAUUUUUUGUUCCUAUUGUUUUACCAUAUUUAAUUCAAACUUUGGAUAUCUACAGAGUUGGAAUCAUUAACCAUUUUCAUUUUCUAAAAGUGUAGACAUUUGAUUUAAUUGCAUAAUUAUGUCAGGGAAGAAGAUAUCUUUAUGUUAGACUUGAUGGAUCAACAUUCAUUAAUAAAAGGCGAAAGUCGGUGAACCAUUAUCAUUUUCUAAAAUUACAGUUUUACAUUCAUCUAUUGUUGUUGGUUUUACAGUAUAUUUUGGCCUGCAAAGAGUAAUGAGUCAUGUUUAUUUCCUGAAAUGUAUUGUUUUUUAUUAUAAUUGGUUUCUACACUCUUUAAUUGGUUCCCUUUGCCUUUAUGUUGUCAUGCCAUUAUGUCAAUGUGUUUCUAGCAGUAGGUCCUACAACUACGGAAAACGGGUAGUUUGAUUGAAUCAUGCUUGGUUAUAUCCAUAUACUAUUUGCCUAAAAAGAUUUUUUACUUUACCCAACUCUGGAUGUAUCAUGAAUCAUGCUCUAUCAACAUGAUUGUUGUGUGUGUUUCUGUUAUUGCUUACAAAGCUAUUUCUGAAAUGUUUAAGUUACACAUGAAGUUCUCAACUUCACAACAUGUAGCUCUGCCAUACUGAAAUGUUGAUCCUGCAAGUACAAUGUUGUCUUCCCAAGUUCAUGUGUUCUGACUAGCUCCAUUCUUAUUAUGUCCUGCCGCCCAACAAGCAGAUGUUGUAGUUUGCAUCUAAGUGUUGUAUUGAAUCUUGCCUAAUGUACCAUGUCGGUCCUCCUGGAAGAUGCUGUCAGCGAAUGCGCAAGUAUAUAUGCAAUACUUGUGGUUAAUUAGUUGUUUCAAUGGUGCAAUAUAUAUAUCCACACCUUUUGAUUUUGCUAUGCAAAAGUAUAUUUCUUGUGUAUUAUAGUGCUUUCUUUGUUAUCGGGUUUGAUAUGAUUGGACCAGAUGAGGCAUUUGAGACUCGAGCUCUGAGGCACUAGACAUGAUAAACAAGCUUGCCAGUGGUUACUUGUAUGUUCUGAGAUACAUGAGCUCCUUCUCAGAUCAGCUUCAUAAUGUCAUAGCACAUGGCUUUCCUCCUAUAGGACAAAAGCAAUAAUCUGAAGAAGAGGUUGCAUGCCAUAAAAAUACAGUCUCAGGCACAAGAGCAUGAGGUGUUUGCACCAUCUGGAGUUGCUUUCUUCACACUGAGGCCAUGGCGUUGAUCGUCGAUGGAUGUCACCGGUCACUCUGAUAAGUAUUCGGUGAUGUCAUGCCACGAGCAUGUGAUCAUCGUGUAAACUACCAUGUGAUCUCCCUCUCCUUUUGUGAACAUGACCUCUUUGUUGAGUCUAUCCAUUCUUUUGUACUCAAUAUCCCGCACUUAAUGUCAAGUGAUAUACUUGCUCUCUAAUGUUCACACUUUUAGUACUAAACUUAAUGUCAAGUGGUUACCUUUUGUAGUCUCAUGAACACACUGAACUCGAUGCUGCCUAUAACCUCAUGACGAUGUUGAACUCAAUGAUGUCUUCAUUAUAUUAUAAUUUAAUGUUCUCUCUUUCUUUUAUUUUGUUGUCCUGCCUGUAUACAUAUGCUAAAUCAAGAU
Molecule: long non-coding RNA, 2575 nt
Organism: Triticum dicoccoides
Lineage: Eukaryota; Viridiplantae; Streptophyta; Magnoliopsida; Poales; Poaceae
Exons: 4
Source: RefSeq, a predicted model, not a curated record